Molecule: RNA transcript, 1357 nt
Organism: Rosa rugosa (rugosa rose)
Lineage: Eukaryota; Viridiplantae; Streptophyta; Magnoliopsida; Rosales; Rosaceae
Exons: 6
Source: RefSeq, a predicted model, not a curated record
UUCUGAUGGGGUUUUUAGCUUCAGAGCACAAAUAUUCUGAACUUUUGUUCUGGGUCUGUUUAAUUUGAUCGGUUUCUUUCAUUUCUGAGUUGAAUUGACAGAGAGUUGGGGUUGAUUGGUUUGAUUGUCCACUAUUUGAUUCGAAAGUUUGGUUCUUCUGAGGAAUUUGUAUUUGAUUGAUUACAGACAGAGGUUCUGGGCGGGUGGUUGGGCUGAUUGGGGAAAACGGUGGAGCUGCAGAUGCCAAAAAUCUACGGGUGAAGUUAACCUGAAGGUGGAUUAGCUUUUGGUUGGCUGGGAGGAGCAGCGCAUCUCCCUUGCAUGUCCCCUACACUUUGAAUUGGAGGAGUUUCGCAAGACUUCAAAUUGGAGUUUUGUGAUGCAAACAGAUGUUAAGAGAUCAAAACUUCCUUCAGAUGCAACUGACAUUGUGAUGGAAGAUGUCCCAUUAUUGACAAAUCUUCUGCAAUAUCAUGAUGCUAAGGUUUGGAGCAUGCUUCUGUAUGUUUGACCCGAAUUGCUGAAUCAUUUGCAUCAUCGCCUGACAAACUUGAUGAACUAUGACAAGCUGGUAUUUUGCAGAACAACGUUAACCAGAUUUGUGCCUGAAGAUGCAUGGUUCUAUGCAGCCUGUCCCUCAUGCUCAAAGCAAAUGAGGAAAAAGCCACGGAGUCAACUACUACUAAUCUGCCGAGAUCAUGAAAUGCAGCAGCCACAUUAUAGACUUUCCUUCUCUCCUCGCCGGAUCGCGGUCAACCUCGUUCCAUCCCCGCAACGCAGUGGAAAAACGUCACCCUCUCCAACCAUUCCCUUCCCCAUGUCGGAAUCAAAAGCCCAAACGCAGAUCGAAAAAUUCCGAUCGGAUCCAACCCAUAUCGGGCCAGAUUGCGCCGAGCCAAGCAACGUCACCACGAUCCCAUCAACUCCAGUCCACCUCCGAAUCUACGCCGACACACCGAUCCUAACCCCCAGCCAGCAAGAAAAGAACCAUCACCCGCCAACAGCCCUGAUCUGCUCUACCAUCCCACUGAUCCUGAUCAAUUCCAGAUUCGUUUUCAGGCGGAGAAAGAAUCGUAGGCGAACAAGUCUCAGAAGCUGGCGUUGAAGCUCGCGAGCAUGGGGGCGAUGGAGCAGCGGUGCUUGGUGCUGGAGCAGAAGAUCGCAGCCUAAAGCUUCAAGAUCUGGGCGCUCUGGUCCGAUAUCGAGUUUCUUCGUCCCUAGUCGAUCUGAUCUGGUGCCCAGAGCACUUUUUUGUAUACUCUGAGCUCCGAGAAUGGGGAAGGAAAAAAAAAGUGAACAUGUACAAUUGAACAUAUAAAUUGAUCAAUUGUGUCUUUACUGUAUUCAUUUUGGUUCA